UCGGAAGUGAACAUUAAAAUAUAGUUACGUAAAAGUUUGUUUUCGUUUAAAAUAAUUCUGUGUGGAUGUGAGUAGUGCAAAUUCUGUGAUAUUCGAUCGGGUGCAUUUGGAACCUUGUGACUUUUAACUUUAUGGUCAAGGUCAUAUCUAUGUUGUGUAUUGUUACAAAGGGUUCAACGUUAUAUAAGCAAGAUAUCAGAAUGAAUCGAGAACUAACAGGAACAUAUAGAAAUGAAUGCAAUGUCGGCCAAAAUUUUUGUGUUAUCCCCACCUCGGCGUAGGAUUAGCGCCCGUCCUGCAUGGACACUCAAUGCCAUAAGAAUCGCUGUCUUCAUCAUGACCAACUUAACAUUGCAG
Molecule: long non-coding RNA, 357 nt
Organism: Ctenocephalides felis (cat flea)
Lineage: Eukaryota; Metazoa; Arthropoda; Insecta; Siphonaptera; Pulicidae
Exons: 3
Source: RefSeq, a predicted model, not a curated record